Molecule: ribosomal RNA, 945 nt
Filed under: Paenibacillus validus
Lineage: Bacteria; Bacillati; Bacillota; Bacilli; Caryophanales; Paenibacillaceae
Description: bacterial SSU rRNA
Rfam family: Bacterial small subunit ribosomal RNA
Source: RNAcentral
GUCGAGCGGACGUUUCCUUCGGGGUUGGUUAGCGGCGGACGGGUGAGUAACACGUAGGCAACCUGCCUGUAAGAUCGGGAUAACUACCGGAAACGGUAGCUAAGACCGGAUAGCUGGUUUCUCCGCAUGGGGGAAUCAUGAAACAUGGGGCAACCUGUGGCUUACGGAUGGGCCUGCGGCGCAUUAGCUAGUUGGUGGGGUAACGGCCCACCAAGGCGACGAUGCGUAGCCGACCUGAGAGGGUGAUCGGCCACACUGGGACUGAGACACGGCCCAAACUCCUACGGGAGGCAGCAGUAGGGAAUCUUCCGCAAUGGGCGCAAGCCUGACGGAGCAACGCCGCGUGAGUGAUGAAGGUUUUCGGAUCGUAAAGCUCUGUUGCCAAGGAAGAACGCCUCGGAGAGUAACUGCUCUGAGGGUGACGGUACUUGAGAAGAAAGCCCCGGCUAACUACGUGCCAGCAGCCGCGGUAAUACGUAGGGGGCAAGCGUUGUCCGGAAUUAUUGGGCGUAAAGCGCGCGCAGGCGGUCUUUUAAGUUUGGUGUUUAAGCCCGGGGCUCAACCCCGGUUCGCACUGAAAACUGGGAGACUUGAGUGCAGGAGAGGAAAGCGGAAUUCCACGUGUAGCGGUGAAAUGCGUAGAGAUGUGGAGGAACACCAGUGGCGAAGGCGGCUUUCUGGACUGUAACUGACGCUGAGGCGCGAAAGCGUGGGAGCAAACAGGAUUAGAUACCCUGGUAGUCCACGCCGUAAACGAUGAGUGCUAGGUGUUAGGGGUUUCGAUACCCUUGGUGCCGAAGUAAACACAAUAAGCACUCCGCCUGGGGAGUACGCUCGAAGAGUGAAACUCAAAGGAAUUGACGGGGACCCGCACAAGCAGUGGGUAUGUGGUUUAAUUUCGAAGCAACGCGAAGAACCUUACCAGGUCUUGACAUCCCUCUGACC